GAGCCUACGGGGGGCAGCAGUGAGGAAUAUUGGUCAAUGGGCGGGAGCCUGAACCAGCCAAGUCGCGUGAGGGACGACGGUCCUAUGGAUUGUAAACCUCUUUUGUCGGGGAACAAAGGCGCCCACGGGUGGGCGGAUGAGUGUACCCGAAGAAAAAGCAUCGGCUAACUCCGUGCCAGCAGCCGCGGUAAUACGGAGGAUGCGAGCGUUAUCCGGCUUUAUUGGGUUUAAAGGGUGCGUAGGCGGACUGUUAAGUCAGCGGUAAAAGCCCGGGGCUCAACCCCGGCG
This 288-nucleotide ribosomal RNA is filed under the name uncultured bacterium. RNAcentral describes it as "partial 16S ribosomal RNA". It matches the Rfam family "Bacterial small subunit ribosomal RNA", at positions 335 to 620 of the family's 1533-position model. The record is from RNAcentral.